RNAcentral lists this ribosomal RNA (459 nucleotides) under uncultured bacterium. RNAcentral describes it as "SSU rRNA". It matches the Rfam family "Bacterial small subunit ribosomal RNA", at positions 26 to 518 of the family's 1533-position model. The record is from RNAcentral.
AGAACGAACGCUGGCGGCAGGCCUAACACAUGCAAGUCGAACGCCGUAGCAAUACGGAGUGGCAGACGGGUGAGUAACGCGUGGGAACAUACCCCUCGGUUCGGAAUAACUCAGGGAAACUUGAGCUAAUACCGGAUACGUCCGAGGUUUUAAUCGACCUUGGAGAAAGAUUUAUCGCCGGAGGAUUGGCCCGCGUCUGAUUAGCUUGUUGGUGAGGUAAUGGCUCACCAAGGCGACGAUCAGUAGCUGGUCUGAGAGGAUGAUCAGCCACAUUGGGACUGAGACACGGCCCAAACUCCUACGGGAGGCAGCAGUGGGGAAUAUUGGACAAUGGACGAAAGCCUGAUCCAGCCAUGCCGCGUGAGUGAUGAAGGCCUUAGGGUUGUAAAGCUCUUUUGCCCGGAAGAUAAUGACGGUACCGGGAGAAUAAGCCCCGGCUAACUUCGUGCCAGCAGCCGC